Poecilia reticulata (guppy) is the source of this 393-nucleotide non-coding RNA. NCBI's taxonomy places the organism in Eukaryota, Metazoa, Chordata, Actinopteri, Cyprinodontiformes, Poeciliidae. The record is from RefSeq and is a predicted model, not a curated record.
CAACAUGCUGCUGGUCACAAUAGUCGCAAUAAUCUGUUUGGUCAUUUCUCUAAUUUGUAAUAUUGUUUUCAUUUGCUUUCGAAUACAAAGAUCAGCAUGUCAACAAUUUAAAGAAAGCUCUUCUUCACCAAAAGGAAACAACUUUAGCCAAAUGGAAAAUAAUAUUGAAGCUGGACCUGAUCUGAACUACGCUGCAUUACAUUUGUCUGAUAGUAGAAGAUCAAGAGUGAAGAAAAAGAGAGAGUUGAUGACUGAAGAAAGUGUGUAUUCACAGGUUAAAGGAUCAACUUGAAAAUGACGUAUGGCAGCUUUCAUUGAAAACCACUUCUGAGAUGAAAGAGCAUAUUGUUGCCGACACACAAUCAAAAGUUGUGAAUUCAAAUAAAACUUUGA